UCCGCCUGCGGUGCGACGCGCCCCACGCCUAGGCCGUGCGUCGCGCCUGCCGGCGCCAUGGCCGCGCACGCCGCGCCGCGCCGCCUCCCGUCCUCGACUGGCCACCGCCCGGCUCGGAGAGCCCAUCCCGUAGCGGCAGCGUGGCUCGCCCCCUCAUCGCGACUCGACGUCGUUCCAACGAAGAUUCGUAACCACAAAGAGAGAGACGAUGGGGGCUUAUCUCUUCGUCGUUUUUCAGUUUUACCAUCGAUCUCUCCAUAUCAUAUUUACAAUAUGUAAAUGAUUAUUCCAGAUAUUCUAUGUGAAAAUGGGACAUGUUCAAUGUAUUUGCUACUCCUAUAUAACAAUUCCUAUAACAUAUUCUUUACCGGUACAACCAUAUUGUGUUUUGU
RNAcentral lists this long non-coding RNA (392 nucleotides) under Hordeum vulgare. RNAcentral's name for it is "long non-coding RNA (HVUL_LNC015559)". Lineage: Eukaryota; Viridiplantae; Streptophyta; Magnoliopsida; Poales; Poaceae. The record is from RNAcentral.